GGAAAGAACCAAAAGCAGAAUUUCUGCCAAAUGUUGCUCUGGCAUCACUAGGAGCAAACGUUGUAUCUGGCAGGACCUCAGCAUCAUACAAUUGGAAGAGGCCAUUUUUCUGCAAACUUUUUCGAACAUGCAAAUUAGUUUCUCCAGGAGUUGUCAUACAGGGAUCAUCAGAACUGCUUCCUGGAAACUGCUGGUCCUUUGCUGGUCAGCAAGGACACAUUACUAUUAACCUGUCUCACAAAGUUCCCAUCAGCCAUGUGACACUCGGUCACAUAUUGAAGUCGGUGUCUCCAUCUGGCACCACACCAAGUGCACCUAAGGAGUUUUCUGUCUAUGGAAAGAAAACAGUAGAAGAUGAGGGAACUCUUCUUGGAACCUUUACAUAUGAUAAUGAUGGAGACCAGUUCCAAACUUUUAAAA
This is a long non-coding RNA of Melanotaenia boesemani (Boeseman's rainbowfish), 420 nucleotides long. RefSeq lists it as uncharacterized. The record is from RefSeq and is a predicted model, not a curated record. The transcript has 4 exons. Lineage: Eukaryota; Metazoa; Chordata; Actinopteri; Atheriniformes; Melanotaeniidae.